This 250-nucleotide ribosomal RNA is filed under the name uncultured prokaryote. RNAcentral's name for it is "partial 16S ribosomal RNA". It matches the Rfam family "Bacterial small subunit ribosomal RNA", at positions 524 to 773 of the family's 1533-position model. The record is from RNAcentral.
UACGGAGGAUCCGAGCGUUAUCCGGAUUUAUUGGGUCUAAAGGGAGCGUAGUCGGGAAGUCAAGUCAGCUGUGAAAUGUAGGCGCUCAACGCCUGCACUGCAGUUGAAACUGGCUUUCUUGAGUGCGUAAGGGGCAGGCGGAAUUCGUCGUGUAGCGGUGAAAUGCUUAGAUAUGACGAAGAACUCCGAUCGCGAAGGCGGCCUGCCGGGCCGCAACUGACGCUGAAGCUCGAAGGUGCGGGUAUCGAAC